CCUACGGGUGGCAGCAGUGAGGAAUAUUGGUCAAUGGCCGUAAGGCUGAACCAGCCAAGUAGCGUGAGGGAAGACUGCCCUAUGGGUUGUAAACCUCUUUUAUGCGGGGAUAAAGGUGUCCACGUGUGGAUGUUUGCAGGUACCGUAAGAAUAAGGCCUGGCUAAUUCCGUGCCAGCAGCCGCGGUAAUAAGGAAGGGUCGGGCGUUAUCCGGGUUUUUUGGGUUUAAAGGGAGCGUAGGCCGGUCUUUAAGCGUGCCGUGAAACUUUGUGGCUCAACCAUGGGAGUGCGGCGCGAACUGGGGGCCUUGAGUGCGCGAAAGGCAGGCGGAAUUCGUGGUGUAGCGGUGAAAUGCUUAGAUAUCACGAAGAACCCCGAUUGCGAAGGCAGCCUGCCGGAGCGUAACUGACGCUGAAGCACGAAAGCGCGGGUAUCGAACAGGAUUAGAUACCCCUGUAGUC
Molecule: ribosomal RNA, 460 nt
Filed under: uncultured bacterium
Lineage: Bacteria
Description: partial 16S ribosomal RNA
Rfam family: Bacterial small subunit ribosomal RNA
Source: RNAcentral